This 751-nucleotide ribosomal RNA is filed under the name uncultured organism. RNAcentral's name for it is "bacterial SSU rRNA". It matches the Rfam family "Bacterial small subunit ribosomal RNA", at positions 95 to 824 of the family's 1533-position model. The record is from RNAcentral.
GUGGCGAAAGGGCGAGGAAUACAUGGGCAACGUGCCUUAGUGCACGAGGAUAACUGCGGGAAGCUGCAGUUAAUACUCGAUAAGACCACAGCACCUUCGGGUGCAGGGGUCAAACGGUGGGGACCUUCGGGCCUACCGGCAUUUGAGCGACCCAUGUCCUAUCAGCUUGUUGGUGAGGUAACGGCUCACCAAGGCGACGACGGGUACCGGGACUGAGAGGUUGACCCGGCGCAUCGGGACUGAGACACUGCCCGGACUCCUACGGGAGGCUGCAGUAACGAAUAUUCCGCAAUGGGCGAAAGCCUGACGGAGCGACGCCGCGUGUGGGAGGAAGCCCUUCGGGGUGUAAACCACUGUCAGGGAUUACCAAGCAAAGUUGGCGAAUAGCCUUCUGCGUUGAGGAGUCCCAGAGGAAGCCACGGCUAACUUCGUGCCAGCAGCCGCGGUAAUACGAAGGUGGCGAGCGUUGUUCGGAAUCACUGGGCUUAAAGGGCACGCAGGCGGACUGUAAAGCGUCUUGUGAAAGCCCCCGGCUUAACCGGGGAAUUGCUAGGCGAACUGGCAGUCUUGAGGCAGGUAAGGGCGAGUGGAACUCUUGGUGGAGCGGUGGAAUGCGUAGAUGUCAAGAGGAACGCCGGAGGCGAAAGCGACUCGCUGGGCCUGACCUGACGCUGAGGUGCGAAAGCCAGGGUAGCGAACGGGGUUAGAUACCCCGGUAGUCCUGGCCAUAAACGGAUGUCCACUAGAUCGG